CCUACGGGUGGCAGCAGUGAGGAAUAUUGGUCAAUGGACGAGAGUCUGAACCAGCCAAGUAGCGUGAAGGAUGACUGCCCUAUGGGUUGUAAACUUCUUUUAUAUGGGAAUAAAACGUUCCACGUGUGGGAUUUUGUAUGUACCAUAUGAAUAAGGAUCGGCUAACUCCGUGCCAGCAGCCGCGGUAAUGCGGAGGAUCCGAGCGUUAUCCGGAUUUAUUGGGUUUAAAGGGAGCGUAGGUGGAUUGUUAAGUCAGUUGUGAAAGUUUGCGGCUCAACCGUAAAAUUGCAGUUGAAACUGGCAGUCUUGAGUACAGUAGAGGUGGGCGGAAUUCGUGGUGUAGCGGUGAAAUGCUUAGAUAUCACGAAGAACUCCGAUUGCGAAGGCAGUUCACUGGACUGCAACUGACACUGAGGCUCGAAAGUGUGGGUAUCAAACAGGAUUAGAUACCCCUGUAGUC
Molecule: ribosomal RNA, 460 nt
Filed under: uncultured bacterium
Lineage: Bacteria
Description: partial 16S ribosomal RNA
Rfam family: Bacterial small subunit ribosomal RNA
Source: RNAcentral